CAGCGCCACGAGUGGGAACUGUAAUUAUUGGGCCUAAAACGUCCGUAGCCUGUUUAGUAAAUGCCUGGGUAAAUCGUGUAGCUUAACUAUACGAAUUCCGGGUAGACUGCUAAACUUGAGACCGGGAGAGGCUAGAGGUACUCCUGGGGUAGAGGUGAAAUUCUGUAAUCCUAGGGGGACCACCAGUGGCGAAGGCGUCUAGCUAGAACGGGUCUGACGGUGAGGGACGAAGCCCUGGGGCACAAACCGGAUUAGAUACCCGAGUAGUCC
RNAcentral lists this ribosomal RNA (270 nucleotides) under uncultured archaeon. Its description in RNAcentral is "partial 16S ribosomal RNA". It matches the Rfam family "Archaeal small subunit ribosomal RNA", at positions 477 to 747 of the family's 1478-position model. The record is from RNAcentral.